GGACGACGACCGGCGGGGGGAGGAGGCGGCCCUAGCGCCAUUUUGUGGAGCGAAGCGGUAGCUGGGCUGCUCUUGGAUCCCUCGCUGCUUCGGUUCCCCUGUUGGGCUUCCUAGCAGCGGCCUAGCGGAAAAAGAAGAAAAAAUGUCUGAAUAUAUUCGGGUAACGGAAGAUGAGAAUGAUGAGCCCAUUGAAAUACCGUCGGAAGACGAUGGGACGGUGCUGCUGUCCACGGUGACAGCCCAGUUUCCAGGAGCAUGUGGGCUGCGCUACAGGAAUCCAGUGUCUCAGUGUAUGAGAGGGGUCCGGCUGGUAGAAGGAAUUCUGCAUGCUCCGGAUGCUGGCUGGGGGAACCUGGUGUACGUUGUCAACUAUCCCAAAGAUAACAAAAGAAAAAUGGAUGAGACAGAUGCUUCAUCAGCAGUGAAAGUGAAAAGAGCAGUCCAGAAAACAUCUGAUUUAAUAGUGUUGGGUCUCCCGUGGAAAACAACUGAACAGGAUCUAAAGGAAUAUUUUAGUACCUUUGGAGAAGUUCUUAUGGUUCAGGUCAAGAAAGAUAUUAAAACUGGUCAUUCAAAAGGGUUUGGCUUUGUUCGUUUUACGGAAUAUGAAACUCAGGUGAAAGUAAUGUCACAGCGACAUAUGAUAGAUGGACGAUGGUGUGACUGUAAACUUCCUAAUUCUAAGCAAAGCCCAGAUGAGCCUCUGAGAAGCCGGAAGGUGUUUGUCGGGCGUUGCACGGAGGACAUGACUGCCGACGAGCUGCGGCAGUUCUUCUGCCAGUAUGGAGAAGUGGUAGACGUCUUCAUCCCCAAACCAUUCAGGGCUUUUGCCUUUGUUACAUUUGCAGAUGAUCAGGUUGCCCAGUCUCUUUGUGGAGAGGACUUGAUCAUUAAAGGAAUCAGCGUACAUAUAUCCAAUGCUGAACCUAAGCACAAUAGCAAUAGACAGUUAGAAAGAAGUGGAAGAUUUGGUGGUAAUCCAGGUGGUUUUGGGAAUCAGGGUGGAUUUGGUAACAGUAGAGGGGGUGGAGCUGGUUUGGGAAACAAUCAAGGUAGUAAUAUGGGUGGAGGGAUGAACUUUGGCGCUUUUAGCAUAAAUCCAGCCAUGAUGGCCGCAGCCCAGGCAGCCCUGCAGAGCAGCUGGGGUAUGAUGGGCAUGUUAGCCAGUCAGCAGAGCCAGUCAGGCCCGUCAGGUAAUAACCAAAGCCAAGGCAACAUGCAGAGGGAGCCAAAUCAGGCCUUUGGUUCUGGAAAUAACUCUUACAGUGGUUCUAAUUCAGGUGCAGCAAUUGGUUGGGGAUCAGCAUCCAAUGCGGGGUCAGGCAGUGGUUUUAAUGGAGGCUUUGGCUCAAGCAUGGAUUCUAAAUCCUCUGGCUGGGGAAUGUAGACACAGAGGGUUAUGGUUGGUUGGUAUAGACUGGUGGGAAUUCAAAUUUUUCUAAACUCAUGGUAAGUAUAUUGUAAAAUACGUAUGUACUAAGAAUUUUCAAAAUUGGUUUGUUCAGUGUGGAGUAUAUUCAGCAGUAUUUUUGACAUUUUUCUUUCGAAACAGAGGAAGAGCUAAAGGAAUUUUAUAAGUUUUGUUACAUAAAGGGUUAAAUAUUGAGUGUUUGAAAGUGAACUGCUGUUUGCCUGAUUGGUAAACCAACACACUACAAUUGAUAUCAAAAGGUUUCUCCUGUAAUAUUUUAUCCCUGGACUUGUCAAGUGAAUUCUUUGCAUGUUCAAAAUGGAAACCAUUGAUUAGAACUACAUUCUUUUCUCCUUGUUUUAAUUUGAACCCCACCAUAUGGAUUUUUUCCUUAGAAAAAGCUCCUUUCUGGAGAUCAUGGUGUCACAGUGUUUGGUUCUUUUGUUUUUGUUUUUGUUUUUAACACUUGUCUCCCUUCAUAUACAAAAGUACAAUAUGAAGCCUUCAUUUAAUCUCUGCAGUUCAUCUCAUUUCAAAUGUUUAUGGAAGAAGCACUUCAUUGAAAGUAGUGCUGUAAAUAUUCUGCCAUAGGAAUACUUCUGUCUACAUGCUUUCUCAUUCAAGAAUUCGUCAUCACACUGCACAGGCUGCGUCUUUGACGUUUUUAAUAAGUCUGGGUGACCGCACCUAAAAUGGUAAGCAGUACCCUCCAGCUUUUUCUUAGUGCCUCUGUGCAUUUGGGUGAUGUUCUAUUUACAUGGCCUGUAUAAAUCUCCAUUGGGAAGUCAUGCCUUUUAAAAUAUUCUUAUUUGGGGGAGUUGGCAAAACAAUGUUAAUUAUUUUCAAUGCUUUGUAACAAAGCAUAUCAAUUGAAAAAAGGGAAUGUCAGCACCUUUCUAGUUUUGGAUUUGAAAAGUGGAAUUAAUUGCAAUAGGGAUAAAGUAGAAGAAACCACAAAUUAUCUUGUGCCUGAAAUCCAUUUAAGAAGCCUGAUAGCUUUAAGAACUAGCAGGGUGGGUUGUCUGUCUGUGGAAGUGUUAAGUGAAAUGGGCUUUGUCCUCCCAAGGUGGGGGAUUAUAGUAAUGUUGAAUAAAAUCGUUUACAAAACUCAGACUCUCACGAUGCAGUGUGAAGUAUGUAAAAGCAAUAAUAUAUUGAUUCUCUAUUGUACUUUUGAUGUAACUGCUACUUCUGUGAGAGUUGAGCUCGUUUUCUAACGGAAGAAUGUAACAAUUUUUGUGUUGAUAGUUUACUAUUGCCCUUAUCUAAUUAGAUUAUGAUAAAUAGGUUUGUCAUUUUGCAAGUUACGUGUUUUAAACUUUUAUAAAUGAAGUCUUCCUUUGGACUUGUGAUCGCCACAUUGUUUUGUUGUUCAGUUUUCUCUGUAAAGGGAUCUUGCGUUGUUUUAAUUUUUUUUCCUGCAUCUAAAUUGCAUGAUUUCCAAACCCUGUACCAUCUGAAUUUUGCAUUUUAGCACUUGCAAUAUUACUCAGCAGCAGUAACAUGGUAACACUUAAAAUGGUAUUCGGGGGACCUCCAAAGACUAAACUGACAAGCCUUCAAGGAACCCAGGGGGAAGUGAGGCUGCUUUACAACAGCACAAUUCAAAUAGCCACGUGAUACUUCUUAGCGCCUCAGAAAAUGAGGUGAGUGAAAAUAAACUUUUAGAAACGAAUUUGUUUUGCUAAAAGAAAUGAUCUGCAUGAUUGGAGAAAUUAUUUUGAGGGCAAACAGGAAUUGUCUGAGCUGAUGCACUGGGUGAUGUGUGUAGAAAGUGAAAGGAAAUAGCCUUUCAUUGCUUCUGUUUUCUUACUUGUAAAAUGUGUAUUUCCCGUAUAGUUCUGGGAAAGCAGGAGCCUAAGGUCACCAUCAUGGGAUUUGCAAAAUUACUUUCAUCUUUGAACAUUUAAAUGUCUUAAAAAUUAGAACAUUGCAGUUGUAGCCAAGAACCUUCUGGUUCAGAAAUUACUAUUUUUGGUCUAGUUUAUUCUUCCAGAUAUUAAAUUUUACUGUCUAUUGCGAACUAAAUACGCUCAUUAAUGUAGCAAAUUUGUUUCCUGUUGUGGCAGAAUACUUGUUUAAAACUUAUAAACGUGUCAGCUAAGAUAGAGGUUUUUAAAAAAACUAAUUUAAGCCAAAUAACAUAAGGGUAAUGAAUAUAUUAUUACCUUUCUGAAUUUUUUUUAAAAUCACUACUUAACUAUAUCAGAGCAAGUUCUGGUAAAAAAAAUUUUUUAAGUACUAUUAAAGGGCAAAUUCCAUUAAUGUUUAAAAACUAGAUGUCAUCGAAAACAAUUGCUUAGGAAAAUAAUGAAGUUAUUAGCUUUGGGUUUUAAUAGCGUUUUUACAGAGAAGAAAAGUAACUCAACAGAAAAAUUCAUGUUUAUAAAUGUGUAAGUGGUUCAAGAUAAUUUUUAAAAUCAUUCAUUUUUUAUGCUUGCCUAGUUGUAAGGUCAAAAAUAACUGACUGAUGCAGUCAGCACCUAACGCCCUCUCCUUGUGGACAGGGGAUCAUGGGAACAUAUUGUCUGGAAGUACUAACUUGGUGUCAGCCCAGUGCUGAAGUUGCUUUUCUGCCUCCCAUGGCUAAAGCCAUGCUUGUUGUCUCCUACCCAGUCCUACUUGCCAUCAAUUACAGAUCCCUUGUAUAAAUGUAUCCAUUACCAGGCUCGCAAACGGGGAGUGAUUUUUCUCCUUUGGAGCUCGUCCAGAAUCCAUCAGCCUCACACACAUAUUUACCUGCAAAUCAUUGGAAAAGCAAAAAUGUUUAACUGCGUGUAUAAGGUGGUUGUCAUUUUCUUGAAUACCCCCUUGAAAAAUGUUGAUUCUUGAGCAUCAGUGAGAAAUAGAGGUGUCUGAAUAACCAUUUUACAUGAUUUCAUAAAUAGGAGGUGUCUGCAUUACCAUGUUUGCUUGCAAAGUGGAAACCUUUUAGAUGUAUAACUUGAAUAUGUAUCAAGAUCUCAAGUGCUUAAUGAUAAGGUUUUGACUUGUUAAAUUAAACCAUUUGGAAUAUA
Molecule: RNA transcript, 4428 nt
Organism: Equus quagga
Lineage: Eukaryota; Metazoa; Chordata; Mammalia; Perissodactyla; Equidae
Gene: TARDBP
Gene name: TAR DNA binding protein
Exons: 8
Source: RefSeq, a predicted model, not a curated record